CUCGGCAGGGCUCCCAAGAGGAAGUGGGUGGACCAUGGGGAGAGAACACAAGCCUAAAUUCAGGGAUGAAAUGAGAAGAGAUCAAGGCCAGCAGAGUAAACCUCUAGAGGUCAGCUAAGGGUGUCCCAGCCAGUGUGAACUGAGGAGAGCAGGCUCAAGUGAAUGACCCAAGUUCCAAGACCCCUGUGAUUGCCUUGGGUUCAGGCUCAGCUUCUGGACUCUCUGGGCCUCCAAGGCAAGGAUCUUCUCACCCUUCCCAGCUGGGUUGCAGGUUACAAUCCAUCAUGGCAAGGACAUCCAGGCAAGAACUUAAAGCAACACAGCCGAAGUCAAGAGCAGAGAGAAUCAACACAUGGGUCCUCCCUGCUUGCCGCUACUUCUGUGCAGCUGUCUUUCUUCACUCUUAUACAGGACUAGAAGAGAAUAAAUGUAUGCUGUUUUCAGCAUGGCAGUUGCAGAAAGCCACAUUUGCUGAGAGCUGUGGAAGGAGCUAGUGCCCUGGCCUGCUUUGUGACCCCAGCUCAGUGGAACGGAUGAGCGGAGUGGUGAUGAGGCUGCUGAUCCAGGGCCUCAGGGAGAUGUGCGUGUGUGCCAAGGAGAAGGAAGACCAUGUCUUCAUGCAUCAGGAAACUUUCCCGGCCAAUGAUCCUCCAAAGGCAUGUCAACAUCUUUCCAGGAAAAAAAAUAACUUAGUCUCUAUAAAAAAAAAAAAAAAAAA
Molecule: long non-coding RNA, 718 nt
Organism: Nannospalax galili (Upper Galilee mountains blind mole rat)
Lineage: Eukaryota; Metazoa; Chordata; Mammalia; Rodentia; Spalacidae
Exons: 4
Source: RefSeq, a predicted model, not a curated record